Molecule: ribosomal RNA, 441 nt
Filed under: uncultured bacterium
Lineage: Bacteria
Description: bacterial SSU rRNA
Rfam family: Bacterial small subunit ribosomal RNA
Source: RNAcentral
UGGCUACAGAACGACGCUGGCGGCAUGCCUAACACAUGCAAGUCGAACGAAGGCUUCGGCCUUAGUGGCGCACGGGUGCGUAACGCGUGGGAAUCUGCCCUUGGGUUCGGAAUAACUCAGAGAAAUUUGAGCUAAUACCGGAUGAUGACGUAAGUCCAAAGAUUUAUCGCCCAAGGAUGAGCCCGCGUAAGAUUAGCUAGUUGGUGGGGUAAAGGCCUACCAAGGCGACGAUCUUUAGCUGGUCUGAGAGGAUGAUCAGCCACACUGGGACUGAGACACGGCCCAAACUCCUACGGGAGGCAGCAGUGGGGAAUAUUGGACAAUGGGCGCAAGCCUGAUCCAGCCAUGCCGCGUGAGUGAUGAAGGCCUUAGGGUUGUAAAGCUCUUUUAGCAGGGACGAUAAUGACGGUACCUGCAGAAAAAGCCCCGGCCAACUUCGUG